RNAcentral lists this ribosomal RNA (270 nucleotides) under uncultured prokaryote. RNAcentral's name for it is "partial 16S ribosomal RNA". It matches the Rfam family "Bacterial small subunit ribosomal RNA", at positions 524 to 794 of the family's 1533-position model. The record is from RNAcentral.
UACGUAGGGGGCGAGCGUUGUCCGGAUUUACUGGGCGUAAAGGGUGAGUAGGCGGUUGUAUAUGUCAGGUGUAAAAGGCUAUGGCUUAACCAUGGUUAGCACUUGAAACUGUACAACUUGAGUGCAGGAGAGGUAAGUGGAAUUCCUAGUGUAGCGGUGAAAUGCGUAGAUAUUAGGAGGAGCACCAGUGGCGAAGGCGACUUACUGGACUGUAACUGACGCUGAGUCACGAAAGCGUGGGUAGCAAACAGGAUUAGAUACCCUGGUAGU